Molecule: ribosomal RNA, 255 nt
Filed under: uncultured bacterium
Lineage: Bacteria
Description: partial 16S ribosomal RNA
Rfam family: Bacterial small subunit ribosomal RNA
Source: RNAcentral
UACGUAGGGUGCGAGCGUUAAUCGGAAUUACUGGGCGUAAAGCGUGCGCAGGCGGUUUGUUAAGUCAGAUGUGAAAUACCCGAGCUUAACUUGGGUGCUGCAUUUGAAACUGGGUGUCUAGAGUGCAGGAGAGGUAAGUGGAAUUCCUAGUGUAAGCGGUGGAAUGCGCAGAGUAUCAGGAGGAACACCGAUGGCGAAGGCAGAUCUCUGGGCCGUAACUGACGCUGAGGAGCGAAAGCAUGGGGAGCGAACAGG